GGCGAGAAAAUGAUGGAGGCGGGGAGAAUGCUAAUCACACCGCCUUGAGAACUGGGGCGGGAAUCCCGGGCCUGAAGUCCCACUGAGUUUGCCGCACGCGCUCGCCUGCUGCACGGUACUAGCUACGAAGCUCUCCUUUCAGGGCCCCACUUCGGCUCCUCUUGCAUCCUAGCCCUUAAAGGUCAGCGCUUGUGUAAAUAGAACUGCAGUGCCACCUGUCUCCCUUCUGCGCGCUUGCACUGGGUGACGAAGAGGCAAUACUUAGUCCCUAGUGUAUGCCUAACAGUAAUUAAUCGUCAUUAAUGCAAGACCUGAAGCUCCUACAAUUUCGAGCCAUUCAACAAACAUCAAAUUUCUGAAUUGAAGAUACUUUUUAAUUUAAUUUUUUUUUUUUUUGAGACAAGUUCUUGCUUUGUGUUUAGGCUGGCCCUGAACUCACUUUGUAGCCUGGGCUGGCCUCAAACUUAUGGUGAUCUUCCUGCCUCUGCCUCCCAAGUGCUGGGAUCACAGGCAUGUGCCACCAUGCCUAGCCCUGAAUUGAAGAUACUUUUGCUAUAUUGAACAUACUUCUACAGAACCUAACUCAUGAAAUUCAACUUCACGUUCAAGUUCUGGACAUCCAACCCAGGGCCUUCACACUGAACUACAUCACCAGCCUCUGUAUGUGUGUGUGUUUGAGACAGGGUCUUGCUAAGUUGCUCAGCCUGGGCUUGAACUUGAACUUGCCAUCCUCCUGCAUUAGCCUUCCAGAGUGCUGGGAUUACAGACACACAUCACCAUGUACACUAUUUACUAUCUUGAAAAUUGACCCUGAAAUGGUGUUGUAAACAUAGACACCUUUGAUAUAUAUAUCUGGGCAUGAAUGAAUGAAUGAAUGAAUGGCAGCUGAGAUUAAUUUUUUCAACUUCACAACUGGCAUUGAGUGCUUGGGUGCAGCCUUGCCACAUGAACUACAUCUCUCAGGUUGGCCAGACUCUACUAACUGUGGC
RNAcentral lists this long non-coding RNA (989 nucleotides) under Heterocephalus glaber (naked mole-rat). RNAcentral's name for it is "lncRNA (ENSHGLG00100033133.1)". Lineage: Eukaryota; Metazoa; Chordata; Mammalia; Rodentia; Bathyergidae. The record is from RNAcentral.